AGCUCCAAUAGCGUAUAUUAAAGUUGUUGCAGUUAAAAAGCUCGUAGUUGGACUUUGGGGCGUUGUGCACGGGCCGCCGAAAGGCGUGCGCUGGGCGCGGCGCUCUUCCUUCCGUAGACUCUGUCUGUUCUUAACUGAGUGGGCAGUUGGAUGCGGAUCGUUUACUUUGAAUAAAUUAGAGUGUUCAAGGCAGGCUUUUG
RNAcentral lists this ribosomal RNA (200 nucleotides) under uncultured eukaryote. Its description in RNAcentral is "partial 18S ribosomal RNA". It matches the Rfam family "Eukaryotic small subunit ribosomal RNA", at positions 587 to 790 of the family's 1831-position model. The record is from RNAcentral.